UGCCCUCAGAUCCUUCUUGUCCAUUCCUGCUUAUCUGCCCCUGACUGGGGAGACCUCAGGUCCUUGUGUCCUCUAGCCAAAGCCUGCUCAUCUUUCUCUGACCAUAAUAUGCCUUUGCUUCUCUUUCACUGGGAUUAGAACCAAGGAUUUGUGGCCCAGAUAAUAACGAUGACCCCUGUCAUAAAUGUCACAGGAAACACCGGAAUGAGAGAGCCAUGUAGUAACCAUGGUGGCCUCUGGUGUCUGGGCAAUUGAGCAUGGACUGCAAUGAGAAAGAGACUGAAGGGCAAACUGCUCUUCAGGAAGGUGCUAGCUGUUUGGCCUUGGGGAACUAAUUCAGCCUCUGCAAGCCUGAUGAUUCAUUCAACAACGUUAAUGACUAUGGAACUAUGUUCCAGAAACGGUUCUGGUUGCUGCAGUCUAGCUGUGCACAAUUCACAUGCAGUCUCCACGCUCAUGGAGUUCCUAGAGGGGUAAGGCAGAUAAUAAACAUCCAA
This is a long non-coding RNA of Mustela erminea (ermine), 497 nucleotides long. RefSeq lists it as uncharacterized. The record is from RefSeq and is a predicted model, not a curated record. Lineage: Eukaryota; Metazoa; Chordata; Mammalia; Carnivora; Mustelidae. The transcript is spliced from 3 exons.